Molecule: long non-coding RNA, 253 nt
Filed under: Helianthus annuus (common sunflower)
Lineage: Eukaryota; Viridiplantae; Streptophyta; Magnoliopsida; Asterales; Asteraceae
Description: sRNA HanXRQr2_Chr11g0507181
Source: RNAcentral
UUGUGUAGUAACCAAGAUCACUAGCAAACUUCCAAAAAUUCACAAGAGCUUUCCAGGAGCUUUCUGAUCAUCAAGGUCGACUUCUAGUGUCCACUAAACAUCUUUAGGACCAUUCCUAUUCGAAUGCAUAUUAGGAAGCCCGGUAAAAGCUAUCAACACUUAUCAUUUGUGACUUAUACUUGCUCAGGUACUAUACGGAAAUAGGCUGGCUGUUUCCUAGAGAGCGUCCACAAUAGUCUCGCAAACUCGGACG